This is a long non-coding RNA of Homo sapiens (human), 767 nucleotides long. Ensembl annotates it as long intergenic non-protein coding RNA 1968. The record is from Ensembl. Lineage: Eukaryota; Metazoa; Chordata; Mammalia; Primates; Hominidae.
GAGGAUAGCAGGGCGUCUGCCCCAGGGACCCCCCGCACGGAGGUGGCUGUGUCGGCAACAGUGGUGUCACAGUAGAUGCAGUCUGACCUGAGCCAUGAAGAAGUGCAGAGUCCCCAAGAGGCCAGAGAGCUCACGUCUGGUUAGAGUCGGGGUGUUUGAUGGGAAGAUGAAAGGAGGAGCUGGCAUCUGAGGAAAUCAACAUUCAAGGGGAGACCCAAUGAAGAAGAUAGUGCCAGAACUUAAUGGAGGCAGCCCAAGAGGAACGUGUACCUGGGGAAGUCAAGAGCUAUUUCUUGGACAUUUGUGCCUCUAUUCCAAACUCUUCUCUCAGAGUAGAUGACAACUCAGGAAGGAGCCAGAGAUCUUCCUCAGUUGACUUGUUCAGAAAUAUGAUUUGGGAUUCAGUCUGGCCCGAAGCCAUGCUUCCAGCCUCAUCUCCACUGUGCACUUUCCAUGGCGUUCUGUCUUGGUCCACUUGGCUUGUGUAGCUGCCUGGCCUGGGUUGUCCUCCCCACCCUUGUCUGCUUGGUGGCACUUGGCCCUGUUCUAAUUGCUUCUGCUCGGGCAGCUUCUCUCCUCCCUCCUCUGUGCUCUGAGCACACUGGACAGAUUCCUGUUAGAGCUGUCACUGUCUUCCUGCUGUCUGCCCACUGACCUUGGAGCUCCAGGAGGACAGGAGCCUUAUCUUACCCCAUGACAUGGCCUAUGCCCAGCCUGGUGCCAACGUGGUCUGGAGGUAUCUGUAGGCUGAAUGAAAUUCUUCCCUC